CCUACGGGGGGCUGCAGUGGGGAAUAUUGGGCAAUGGAGGAAACUCUGACCCAGCAACGCCGCGUGAAGGAUGAAGGUUUUCGGACUGUAAACUUCUGUCGCGAGGGAUGAAGAAUGACGGUACCUCGUAAGAAAGCCCCGGCAAACUACGUGCCAGCAGCCGCGGUAAUACGUAGGGGGCGAGCGUUGUCCGGAAUGACUGGGCGUAAAGGGAGUGUAGACGGCGCUGCAAGUCCGGAGUGAAAGCCCAUGGCUUAACCAUGGUACUGCUCUGGAAACUGUAGAGCUUGAGUGCGGGAGGGGCAGGCGGAAUUCCUAGUGUAGCGGUGAAAUGCGUAGAUAUUAGGAGGAACACCGGCGGCGAAGGCGGCCUGCUGGACCGUAACUGACGUUGAGGCUCGAAAGCGUGGGGAGCAAACAGGAUUAGAUACCCGGGUAGUC
Molecule: ribosomal RNA, 441 nt
Filed under: uncultured bacterium
Lineage: Bacteria
Description: partial 16S ribosomal RNA
Rfam family: Bacterial small subunit ribosomal RNA
Source: RNAcentral